UUCCGAUGCAGCGGUUCAGAGGAGAUAUACGCUCGUUGUUGAUUCACGUUGAUAAUCGUUCUUACUCUGAAGAAUGAAAAGAAUCUCCUUUUGAACCCUUUUUGGUGAAUCCCACUAGUCGAAGGUGAAGCCCUCCGAAUUGCCAAUUUUUUUCUGAAAAUUGGUUGUUCCUUUUUGCGCCUUCUGUCGAUGAAAGUGAAUUAGAGGUUGGUGAAGGUUGGAGAGUUCUUGGAUAUGUCUUUGGUUCUUGCAAAAUCGUGAGUUAUUGAAGGUUCUCAGAGAAGAAGAUGCAGGGUUCGGUGGUGAAGAAGUUGCUAGAUAAUGGAGAAGAAGUUGGUUGAAGUUUUGUUUUAGGUUGGUGCGGAGAGGGUUGAAGAAGAAAAAAGGGAGAGUUUGUUAUCUUGAUUUUUUCUCCGAGGAAAAGGAAGGAGAAGAAGUCCUGUUAAUCCUGUACUUAUAGAAAUUACGGUUUGCGUUUUGGUAAUUUGCACUGCAGUUUCUAUUUGGAUGCGUCUUCAGCGUUUGUUCUGGUGCUUUCGGCGUAUGUGACGCGUUCAUUUGUUCCUCGCCUUGGCCUGUGUUUGAUGUCGUUUUUAUAUUCGCAGUUCACUGCGUUUGAUUUUGUUUUUAUAUUCGCGUUUCACUGCGUUUGUAAUUAUGAGCUACAAUGAACUUCUUUUCAGCUGGUGUACUUUUAAUCUUUCUGCAAUUCCACUGUUCAAGUCCCA
Long non-coding RNA from Lathyrus oleraceus (garden pea), 728 nucleotides. RefSeq lists it as uncharacterized. Lineage: Eukaryota; Viridiplantae; Streptophyta; Magnoliopsida; Fabales; Fabaceae. The record is from RefSeq and is a predicted model, not a curated record. The transcript has 2 exons.